RNAcentral lists this small RNA (328 nucleotides) under Arabidopsis thaliana (thale cress). Its description in RNAcentral is "ATSL025520". The record is from RNAcentral. Lineage: Eukaryota; Viridiplantae; Streptophyta; Magnoliopsida; Brassicales; Brassicaceae.
UUUUAAAUGCUAACCUCAUUUCUUCCUCUGCUAACUCUCUUCUUAUCCUUUUGAACAUCCAGACUUUCUUCAGACAAAAUAUUGAAACUUGGUGUAGAGGAUCGUGGAGUAGGAGACUUAUCCUUGAAAAGAUAACAGAAUGUAAAAUUAUAAAAAGGAUACUAAUCAUUUUUGUAAGACUUUUAGAGAUAUAAAUUACUGUUCUUUUGACGAUUCUUCAACUAAUUCAUCACCAACAUCACGUUGGGUGUUUUCAUCAUCACCCGGAUAGCUCCCAUACUGUGUGUUUGGCUCUCGGAUUGAAUCUUCAAAUGAUUCAUUGUCAUUC